This 486-nucleotide ribosomal RNA is filed under the name uncultured bacterium. RNAcentral's name for it is "partial 16S ribosomal RNA". It matches the Rfam family "Bacterial small subunit ribosomal RNA", at positions 28 to 523 of the family's 1533-position model. The record is from RNAcentral.
GACGAACGCUGGCGGCGUGCCUAACACAUGCAAGUCGAACGAGGUCCAUGCAGUGGCAACACUGCGGACGACCUAGUGGCGAACGGGUGAGUAACACGUGAGGAACUUGCCCCGGAGACUGGGAUAAGCCCCCGAAAGGGGGUCUAAUACCGGAUGUCCUCACCGAGUCGCAUGGCUUGGUGAGGAAAUGGAUUCCGCUCCGGGAGAGCCUCGCGGCCUAUCAGCUUGUUGGUGGGGUAACGGCCCACCAAGGCAUCGACGGGUAGCUGGUCUGAGAGGACGAUCAGCCACACUGGGACUGAGACACGGCCCAGACUCCUACGGGAGGCAGCAGUGGGGAAUCUUGCGCAAUGGGCGAAAGCCUGACGCAGCAACGCCGCGUGCGGGAUGAAGGCCCUCGGGUUGUAAACCGCUUUCAGUGGGGACGAACCAAGACGGUACCCACAGAAGAAGGUCCGGCCAACUACGUGCCAGCCGCCGCAGUAA